GGUCGUUGGGAUAGACAUUCCAUUGUCAAGAUGGCGUCUCCACUCCUGGUCUGGGAUGGCUGGUAGUUGAUGUGGCUGCUGGGGAAGCCAUAUUCCAUAACCCACUAAGCAGCCCUUCAUCUGAGUCGGAAGUAAGUGGGAUGGUUGACUCAGCACCUCCAAUCCUCGGCGGGAAAGCGGCUGCAGCCCUUGACAGUGAUACUGGGAUCAGCAUUAUAGCAACUUAAUUGAUUUUAAAAUAAAAAAUCUUACAAGCCU
Molecule: long non-coding RNA, 258 nt
Organism: Odocoileus virginianus texanus
Lineage: Eukaryota; Metazoa; Chordata; Mammalia; Artiodactyla; Cervidae
Source: RefSeq, a predicted model, not a curated record